AUUCUCUUUGUCUUAGCAUUUACCUAAACAUGUCUCACAAAGGUCCUUGCUAGCAGCGAAAACCGUCACAAAACCUUAUCUUUUCUCUUGAUGACCUCACACAACUUUCAUCAUGUGAAGAUGUCAUGAUGUAAGUUGUUAAAUCAACUACACAAGAACUAUUUGGUGAGACUCCACCGAUCCAUAAAAUAACUCCAUCUAAGGCAAUACUACCCACCAUUCCAACUAUUACCCCUUAGGCAAAUUUUACAGGCAAUGAGGCAAAAGACCAUAAGGAGCCAUCCAACUGAUCAUGUCAUUAAGGUCACUUAUGUAUAAAGAUCAUUGUCUUUUUUGUUAAGGACUCCUACCUUCUGUCAACUACUCUCCUUAUGCUUAUCAUAUCACAAUCUGUAGCUAUCAUGUAUCUCUUCUCUCCUAUCUCCUCCUUUGUAGUUAUCCACAUCAUGAGUUGUAUUAUAUAUACUACAUAUCAUAAUUAGGAAUGGAAGAGCAUAACUUUUCUAUCAACUGGUUCAACCAGAACAUGGUUUCAAAGCCUUGAAAGGAAAAAUACAAUGUCUACUACAAAUGACAAGCAACUCUCCACCACCGCCUCACUCAUCAACCUCACUAUAACUAAUCACUCAUUUGCCAUAAAACUAAACACCAUAAAUUAUCUGGCAUGGAAGGCACAGUUCAUCCCUAUUCUCAACUACCAAAAUCUCAUGGGUCUCAUUAAUGGUAGUAAACUAGCCAC
RNAcentral lists this long non-coding RNA (739 nucleotides) under Carica papaya (papaya). Its description in RNAcentral is "long non-coding RNA (CPAP_LNC000507)". Lineage: Eukaryota; Viridiplantae; Streptophyta; Magnoliopsida; Brassicales; Caricaceae. The record is from RNAcentral.